GCGGGCGUAGCUCAAUGGUAGAGCCCUAGCCUUCCAAGCUAGCCAUGCGGUUUCGAUUACCGUCGCCCGCUCCA
RNAcentral lists this transfer RNA (74 nucleotides) under Actinomycetota bacterium. Its description in RNAcentral is "Actinobacteria bacterium (freshwater metagenome) tRNA-Gly". It matches the Rfam family "tRNA". Rfam says of the family: Transfer RNA (tRNA) molecules are approximately 80 nucleotides in length. The record is from RNAcentral. Lineage: Bacteria; Bacillati; Actinomycetota.